Molecule: long non-coding RNA, 1509 nt
Organism: Toxorhynchites rutilus septentrionalis
Lineage: Eukaryota; Metazoa; Arthropoda; Insecta; Diptera; Culicidae
Exons: 3
Source: RefSeq, a predicted model, not a curated record
CCGGUUUCCGCCGGACCGGUUAGAAUCCCAAAUGGCAAAUUUCGAUCGUACCAACCUCUUCACGGCGCCGUGAUACAGCCGUCCACUGCGACUGCAAUGUCCGGUGACCGGAUAAGCAUUAUACGCGAUGACAGUAGUAUUGUGUUGACGUCUGGUACAGACACCGGUUUGGGAAAGUAAAUCAUUCUCUAUGAGAAUAUCAGACCUUAAGACAGUUAAAUUGUUCAAAUUUUUACUUUAUAUUAUGUGAUCAGUUAAAACUCGUAAUACUGAUUCUUACUUAACCAUUUUUGUAUAAUUUUCUUGAUAUUGUCAUUAAAACUCAUCAUUGUAAUAUAAAAUUAUUAACAAACACAAUUCUUGUUCAGGGGGUUUUCAUCACUUACAAAAGAACGUGUAACGUGUAACUCAUUAAGAACAUAUUUCAUAAGAAAAUGUUAAUUUUCAUUCAUAAUUUUAAUUUUUAAAUAUGUGUUAACUGCACCCGAAAAUCAAUUAUCACUAUCAUUUCCCAAAAGCGGAGCACGAAGCUCCACGCGAAUUGACAGUUGUUUUUCAUGUCUGUUAGUAUUAGUACAAUUCAGGCAAUUUUUCGCCCCAUAUAUUAGUAUGUGUGUGCCGUUUGACGUUUGUUUGUUGAUUUUGAAAUCAAGCAGAAUUUGCAAUUGGUAUGGACACUGAAAUUUUUAUUUCGCUUCUUUAUUUAGCUGCAGUGGAAAAUUUCAGUGAUAAAAGUUUCUGCUCAAAGCGAAGCAAAGAUCACAGGCGCACGAGGUCGUCAUGGAGUGUUUUGCCAUGGAUUGUGUUCAACGGUCUCACAGCAACUUUCCUCAUUUGAAAUCGCUACCGAAAGAGUUUGAGGAUGUGAAACAAAUGUUCAACUGGUUCAUCAAGGGAUAGAUUUUGAGUGACUUCAUCCAGCUGAAUGUGAAGUGUUCCCAUUUGGUAUACCAUACAGUUCGACCUGACCCGGAACACGAUCGACGAUAAGGUGGCCGCGACUCGGCUCGAAAAACUUAAACCCGAACUGUCCGAUCUGUGCUCGGUGAUCAAGAUGUUCCCCUGCCCGACGCUGAAGCAUCGGCUCUGUCAGAACGAAAUCACCCAGCUGUUGGCAUAUCUGAUUCGGUCAUUCUUCGUCCAGGAUCCGCGUAUUAAUAGCCGUGCAUUGAUGCUCGAUGAAUUGCGGCUGAGUGUGUUCUGAACAAGGAUCUGCGGAAGCAGCAAUGAGAUAGUAUUUGAAGGAAAAGUAUGAUGUAAUUUGAAUCGCAAAGAUAAUUACUGCAAUGGUGAAAUAAAGAAAAACACUCUAGAAUGAUUUUUUGCAAAUUUCAAGAUAAUUACAGGAAGAAAACACAUAAUACAUAUAAAUAAGUAGUUCCCCUAGCUUGUUACGGAAUGUUAUUAUUAUUGGUUCAUAAGAUUGUACACUUUUAUCUAACCGUGUUCUCGAGGCUGUUGAAAAAAUAUGUGGCAACAGAGCGUGUGGAAUAAAUCAUACACAGUAAC